UUAGAUAGCUCCGUUAGUGGAGCAUGAGACUCCUAAUUACAAGGUCAUGGGUUCGAGUCCCAUGGGCAAAA
This is a non-coding RNA of Podarcis lilfordi (Lilford's wall lizard), 71 nucleotides long. The record is from the annotation of a GenBank genome assembly. Lineage: Eukaryota; Metazoa; Chordata; Lepidosauria; Squamata; Lacertidae.